Molecule: ribosomal RNA, 1449 nt
Filed under: metagenome
Description: bacterial SSU rRNA
Rfam family: Bacterial small subunit ribosomal RNA
Source: RNAcentral
AGAGUUCGAUCCUGGCUCAGAAUGAACGAUUGCGGCGUGCCUGAUGCAUGCAAGUCGUACGCUUUAAUAUUUCGCAAGAUUUAUUAGGGAGUGGCGGACGGCUGAGUAACACGUAAGUUACCUACCUCUAAGUGGGGGAUAACUUACCGAAAGGCAAGCUAAUACCGCAUGUGAAGUAUUUUUAAAGCUUUCGAGCGCUUGGAGAUGGGCUUGCGGCUGAUUAGCUAGUUGGUAGGGUAAUGGCCUACCAAGGCGACGAUCAGUAGCUGGUCUGAGAGGACGACCAGCCAGACAGGGACUGCGACACGGCCCUGACUCCUACGGGAGGCAGCAGCAAGGAAUUUUGCGCAAUGGGCGAAAGCCCGACGCAGCGACGCCGCGUGGGGGAUGACGGCUUUCGGGUUGUAAACCCCUUUUCUUGAGAAGAAUUAUGACUGUACUCAAGGAAUAAGUCAUGGCUAACUACGUGCCAGCAGCCGCGGUAAAACGUAGGUGGCGAACGUUAUUCGGAUUUACUGGGCGUAAAGCGGGUGUAGACGGCUGUUUAAGUCGAAUGUGAAAUCUCCUGACUCAAUCAGGAUGGGUCGUUCGAUACUGAAUGGCUUGAGGGCAUCAGAGGAAGAUAGAAUUCCCGGUGUAGCGGUGAAAUGCGUAGAUAUCGGGAGGAAUACCAGUGGCGAAGGCGGUCUUCUAGGAUGUUCCUGACGUUGAGGCCCAAAAGCGUGGGGAGCAAAACGGAUUAGAUACCCGUGUAGCCCACGCCCUAAACGGUGGAUACUAGGUAUAGGGGGUAUCGACCCUCUCUGUGCCGAAGCUAACGCUUUAAGUAUCCCGCCUGGGGACUACGGCCGCAAGGCUAAAACUCAAAGGAAUUGACGGGGGCCCGCACAAGCAGCGGAGCGUGUGGUUCAAUUCGAUGCAACGCGAAGAACCUUACCAAGGCUUGACAUGUUAGAAGUAGAAACUCGAAAGAGCAACGACCUGUAUCCAGUCAGGAGCUUUCACAGGUGCUGCAUGGUUGUCGUCAGCUCGUGCCGUGAGGUGUUAGGUUAAGUCCUGCAACGAGCGCAACCCUCGUCGCUAGUUAAUUUCUCUAGCGAUACUGCCCGUAAAACGUGGAGGAAGGUGGGGAUGACGUCAAAUCAGCAUGGCCUUUAUGUCUUGGGCUACACACACGCUACAAUGGAUGGUACAAAGGGUUGCCAAAGAGCGAUCUGGAGCUAAUCCCAAAAAACCAUCCUCAGUUCAGAUUGCAGGCUGCAAUGCCUGCAUGAAGUUGGAGUUGCUAGUAAACGCAGGUCAGCACACUGCGUUGAAUACGUUCUCGGGCCUUGUACACACCGCCCGUCACGUCAUGGGAGUUGGUAACACCUGAAGUCAAUGGGCUAACCGCAAGGAGGCAGUUGCCGAGGGUGGGACCAGCGACUGGGACGAAGUCGUAACAAGGUA